AGUCCGGGCAGCGGGCGCACGCAGGCGUGACGUCACUCGACGCGACGCGUAGCGUACCGGGUGACCGUCACGUGACCUGGCGAGGCGGCGACCAUGGCCGUCCCUCUUUCCCCCACGCUGGUGCUGGGCGAGGCCUCGGAGAGCGACUCAGAGCCGGAGCCGGGGGGGAACACAGCCGGGACUCCCGCAGUGGGGCUGAAGGUUCCGGGGGAGGCGUCGGAGACCGAGGAGGAGGAGGAAGAGGACAGUGCGGCCCGGAUGCCGCUGCCAGGGGUGUCCAGGGGGGGCCCCUCACUGCUGCAGCAGCGGCUGGGGGCGGGCGAGGGGCGACUGCGGGGCGCAAUGGCUGAGGCACUGGGACGCAGUUUCAGUGGGGCUGCGCGGCUGCUGGAAGGUCUGGGGGGGCCCCUGGGCCACGCCCAAGCUGGGGCAGCUGCGACCGCGCACUGCCUGUGCCUGGUGCGCCGUGACCUGCGCGCUGUGGCUGCCACCGUAGCCACCAUCACCGCCUGUCACCUGCUGCCUGACAUCCGUGGGGAGCUGUGAGAGUGGGAAUGUCUGUGGGGGGGGGGGGGGCAGUGCUGGCAGCUGUGGGGAGCUCCUGGCGUUGUUGUUGCAGUGUCACUGACACUGACCUUCAGCACUGUGUCCAAUGGACUCGAGAGUUGUGGUUGUCACUGAUGACAUUCUCAUUGUCACUGCAUUGCCAGUGCUGUGUCCCCUUGAGCUGAUGCUGCCAUCAACAGCACUGCCGCUGAUCGCUCAGUGUCCCAGCGAUGUCCCUGUGUCACCUGGCCUGUGGGGACCUUGGCCUCACAGUGACGUUGUCAGUGAAUGGAAGCUCCUGACGAUUGAUUGAUGCAGAAUUCUGUAGUUUUGCCCUGUAUAGGGGAUCUGUGGGUUCUGGCACUGACUAAAGCCCUUUGGAGACAUAGCUGCAGCAAGGACACAGCUUUCACUAGGUGGGUGGCAGUGUGUUCACCCACGGCACUGUGGUCCCAGUGGUCUGAGCAAGGUCCCUUUUGUUGCCCCCCAUGUCCUUGGGCUGUGGUUGUGUCCUGUGCGUCCCUUCCUGCCAUAUGAAUGUCUCCAGCAUCUGGCCACUGUCCCCAAGCUGUGGCUAUGUCCUGUCACCCUAAGUGCCCCUUGGCCUUGUCCUUAGCUCUCUCCUACCUCUGUGUACCCCUCUGAGAACUUCAGCCAGGGACAGGGAGAAGUACAUACGAAUCUCACACCACGGAGCCACAUGGGUCUGUCACGCUGCAUCCUGCCUGGGCUGUCACGUCCUGUGGGACACCAGGGGAUACACCCUGGGUGCUAGUGGGCUUGUGGCACCAAAAUGCCCGGGGCCUGAUGAGGGUCCUGGGGGCUCCUGGCGUCUCCAGAAGGGUCCCAACUGUCCCCAGGGACUGACCUGAGGGGUAGUGGAAAACCAGGAUGAAGGUUCACUUUCCCCAUUCCCCUGUGUUGUGGCAAAGGGGAAAGGUUUUGUGAAGAGCACAGUGGUGUUGGAUUCUGUUCAUAAAGAUUCUAGACCUCGGUUCCCUUCCCGUAUCCAAAUUAGAAUGAAAGAUAGUAUUAACAAUUCAUCUUUUGAGGAAGAACCUCUGAGCACUUGUAACUGGCAGUGCUUUGAUAUUCUAGGUAACCUGUUCCAUAAGGAGUGCUGGGUGAUGCUGGCUGAUACUGUCAAUUGUGAGCAUGCUCCACAGAAAGUUUCCCUCUGUGGGAGUGAGGAAACAAAAUGUGGUGAUUCAGUACUGUGGGGUUAUUAUGGGGUUACUAGAGUCUAGGAUUCUAGAGUCUGAGGAUUCUAUGAAUUGAUUAUUGGAGGAUUCUAUGAGGAUGCUAUGAGGAUACCAGCUCCUGUGAUUAUAAGUUCUGUUAUUUCAGAUUCUGUGAUCGUUUCAUGAUUCUAGAUUCCUUGACUCUGUGAUGAUUCUGGGCUUCAGUUGUGUGGUGAUUCUGAUUCCUCACUAAGAGUAUAGAUUCCCAGACUUGUAGCUACGCAAUACGAUGCGUUUCCAUCUCCACUCCUGUGCAUAGUGUGUGGCAUAGUUCUGAGUGCCUGACACAGCCCAAGCAAAAUCAAUUUCUGUAGGUUAUUACUAAAUAAAAAAAUAAAUCAAUAAAUUUCUUGCUUUAGUUUCUGCUCCCUGAUCCAUUUAUUUAUGUUCUCCCUUGCUUCAUAUGUAACUUCCAAACUUGGCAUUUUGCAGAUAAUACCUUUUCCCCCUUUCGUCCUUUGGUGGCCCCUAAUGGUCUCUUCUUUCUCAGUUAGAACAGUUGUCAUGAGCCUAUUCAUAUAGGAAUUUGGGACUGGAGUUCACUCCGUGACUCUUAUCAUAGUUGAUGUCCCUAGUUGCUAUCGUGCAGACUUCACCAAUUUAUAACAGAUGGAUACAGCUACGAUAUACACUCCUAAGAGGGAAGCAGGAAUGUAUAUUUAUUGAUGUAAUGUAGAUAUGCUGUAGUGAUAUGACAGUGACUUAACAAGACUGGAGAUGGCUGGAUACACUUGGUUAUUUUCCACAUAGAGGGCAGGAUUAAACACACACCUACAGGACGCUCUCCUGCUGUGUCAUGAGGAUCAGAGCAGGCCCCGUUGCUGUCUGAACUCUUCAAACCACAGAGAUCACAGCAGUGUGAGUCUGACUGCGUCAGCGGAAGAGCUGCCUUCAUGGAGGUGCAGGUGCAGUCGGCCGUUGUGGAAUUCAUCCUGAACCACACUCUUCCACUCCAAAUCCAGCCCAGUCAUUGGAGAUGGAGGAGCAAGCACAGUGUAUUUGGAUGCUCUGCUUCCAAAAGUGCAACAGCUUCUGGAGACCCAGGUGGGACCCCACAGGUGACGGUCCUCUCGGCACCAAGCGUCCAGUUGCCAGCAGCAGGUGAGUUCACUUUGGGGGACUUUGGUGAUGGGAGGUGCCAAGCAGCAAGCCUUCAAUUUCCGCUACUAAAUGCAGGCUUGGAAGCAAGCUACGUGUGGGAAAUAUACUUGGUGCAGGAAAGGGGAUGUCCUUAGCCAAGGUGCUGGAAAACUGAAGGAAAACAGAUGAAACUGCAGAUCUAUCAACAAAAACGUAAGCACGUGACACUUGACUUGGCAGGUCUGUGAGAAGGUCAGCUUCCCCGUGUUUGUAUUUCAGCCAUCAUCCUCCAUACUGGAGAGGCU
RNAcentral lists this long non-coding RNA (3172 nucleotides) under Gallus gallus (chicken). RNAcentral describes it as "lncRNA (ENSGALG00010018013.1)". The record is from RNAcentral. Lineage: Eukaryota; Metazoa; Chordata; Aves; Galliformes; Phasianidae.